GUGCAGCAGGCGAGAAAACUUCACACUGUGCGAAAGCACGAUGAGGGAAUCCCAAGUGCUUGCACGUAAGUGUAAGCUGUUUCUCUGUCUAAAACGCAGAGAGAGUAAGGGCUGGGUAAGACGGGUGCCAGCCGCCGCGGUAAUACCUGCAGCUCAAGUGGUGACCGUUAUUAUUGGGCCUAAAACGUCCGUAGCCGGUUUAAUAAAUGCCUGGGUAAAUUGUGUAGCUUAACUAUACGAAUUCCGGGUAGACUGUUAAACUUGAGACCGGGAGAAGUUAGAGGUACUCCUGGGGUAGAGGUGAAAAUUCUGUAAUCCUAGGGGGACCACCAGUGGCGAAGGCGUCUAACUAGAACGGGUCUGACGGUGAGGGACGAAGCCCUGGGGCGCAAACGGGAUUAGAUA
RNAcentral lists this ribosomal RNA (405 nucleotides) under uncultured microorganism. Its description in RNAcentral is "bacterial SSU rRNA". It matches the Rfam family "Archaeal small subunit ribosomal RNA", at positions 330 to 735 of the family's 1478-position model. The record is from RNAcentral.